GAUGAAGAACGCAGCGAAAUGCGAUAAGUAAUGUGAAUUGCAGAAUUCAGUGAAUCAUCGAAUCUUUGAACGCACAUUGCGCCCGCCAGUAUUCUGGCGGGCAUGCCUGUUCGAGCGACAUUUCAACCAUCAAGCCCCCGGCUUGUGUUGGGGACCUGCGGCUGCCGCAGGCCCUGAAAACCAGUGGCGGGCUCGCUAGUCACUCCGAGCGUAGUAAUACAUCUCGCUCAGGGCGUGCUGCGGGUUCCGGCCGUUAAAAAGCCUUAUUUACCCAAGGUUGACCUCGGAUCAGGUAGGAAGACCCGCUGAACUUAAGCAUAUCAAUAAGCGGAGGA
Molecule: unclassified non-coding RNA, 335 nt
Filed under: soil metagenome
Description: partial contains 5.8S ribosomal RNA, internal transcribed spacer 2, and large subunit ribosomal RNA
Rfam family: 5.8S ribosomal RNA (bases 1-120)
Source: RNAcentral